GUUGAACUGAUGCCCAGCACACUCCCCGGAGAGCUGAGCCCCCACAAAGUUGGGAGUGGGGCAGGCAGAGGGGUGAUGCCUGCCUGGUGCCAGCCUUGAGGAAACCCUGUGGCUCCUGACAGAAGGGCAGAACCUGAUACCUGGGUUUGACUAAGAGCAAAAAAGAGCAGCUCCCACAGCGCCCAGCGCCUGGCAUGUGCUCCACAGACACACGAAGAAAUGAAGGCGGGUACAGGAGAGGAAGGGGACAAGAGGACAGAGGAAGGAUGUCUGAGAGAUGCCCAGCGUGGGUGGGUGCUCCCUCCCCCCUGCCUCCGCUCCUCCUCCUCCCCGGAACUGCUGCCUCCUCCGCCUGAGCGGCUGAUGCCCUCUGGGUUCUGUUUUCAUUCCAGGCUGUGGAUCCGGUCGUGGGAAGCAGAGAAGACUGCUAGGCCUGAGCUGACUCCCCUGGAAACCCCAGACUCCAGUGACGUGCUUCUGGAACCUGCUCAGACAAAGUUAGGUAAGAGCCUGGGCAGUGGGUGGGUUGCAACACCCAGCCUGGCUGACCAGAAAGCUGAAGAGGACUGGAAGUUCAAGAAGAAGUAGAGAGGAGGUGGAGAGAGAGAAAGGGCAGAAGGAGGAGACAUCGAAGACCUCCCGAACAUCUUCUGUGGGAUCUCAGAGAAGGCAAAGCUCACCCUCCUGACUCCAGGACUCAUUUGCGUCCAGCCACUGAAUUAUCUACUUGUUACCCCUCCUGUGGAUCUCUCCCGAGGGAAAGAUCUACCUUGGAAGGCUGGUAAUAAAUGGUAAUAAAAGAUCUCUAAGGCAG
Molecule: long non-coding RNA, 814 nt
Filed under: Equus asinus (donkey)
Lineage: Eukaryota; Metazoa; Chordata; Mammalia; Perissodactyla; Equidae
Description: lncRNA (ENSEASG00005037079.1)
Source: RNAcentral